RNAcentral lists this ribosomal RNA (135 nucleotides) under uncultured eukaryote. RNAcentral's name for it is "partial 18S ribosomal RNA". It matches the Rfam family "Eukaryotic small subunit ribosomal RNA", at positions 1299 to 1458 of the family's 1831-position model. The record is from RNAcentral.
UGGUGGGGUGACUUGUCUGGUUGAUUUCGAUAACGAACGAGAUCCGAGCUGUUUAGUUGCGAUCAAUACUCUGUAGUAGUGAUCGUUCUUAAAUGGACUAUCAGUGCAAACUGAUGGAAGUUUCGGGCUAAAUCA